Quercus lobata is the source of this 1082-nucleotide long non-coding RNA. RefSeq lists it as uncharacterized. The record is from RefSeq and is a predicted model, not a curated record. The transcript has 2 exons. Lineage: Eukaryota; Viridiplantae; Streptophyta; Magnoliopsida; Fagales; Fagaceae.
UAAACUUAGUUAUGACAAAAUUGAAGUUGAGGCUAACUUGAAAGGUUUCUAAGGGUGUUUUGAAGCCAGAUUGAAUUCAUAUUUCUAGUUUCAACCUAUGAAGUCCACUUCUGAUGAUUGUACUCUUUAUCAUCAGACCAAAACACCAAUCGGUUUUUGGUGUAGGCGAGGAUUGAAUUCUAGAUCUUUUAUUCAACUAUCAGAGACUUUACCAGUUGAACUAAUUAAAUAUACAUUGAUCAUCUAUAGAGGUAUUUGUCGAACUCCAUAAUUUUUCCUUAAUGAUCUAUAUUUGCAUUCAAGGUACCACCUAACUCAAUUUUAUUGUUUUUAUUAAAAAAAAAAAUGUAUUGGAUAUUAUAUUGUUUGUGCAUGAGAUAGAGAUGGAGCUUCAACAUUAUAGACAUGAGCAUCCAUUGGAUUUCAAUAAAGCCAAGGGAAUAGGAUUGCUUUGUUCGAUGGUUCGAGGAGGGGGGAUUUGUACCCCGGAUGUCUCUAUUGGAAACACCAAAAAAUGCCAGUUGAGUUACAAGACUCUAAGAUUUCUUUGUUCUGGGUGCUUAGAACUAGUUUUGGAUCCUAGGUCCAGGUGUGUAGAAUGCAAAGGAUGCUACCAUCAUAAAUCAUGUGCGGAACUACCUUCGAAUUGCAAUAUCCAUUGCACAUAAAACAUCCUCUUAUUCUCUUUGAAAAAGUGCAUUUUACGAGGACAAAGGAUAUAGCAAAUGCAAAAUACGCAAAUAAAAAAAAAUUUCUAGAUGUACUUAUUGUUGCUCUUGUUACGAUUUUGACCUUCAAAAUAAAUGUACUUCUUUACCAUCCACCAUGGAAGCUGAAGUUCACAACCACCCAUUGAUCAUCAUUUGGAAGUGGGUCACGUUCACUUGCGACCUUUGUGGCAAAGAAGGCAAUGGUGUGUAGAAUGCAAAGGAUGUAGCAUCAUAAAUCAUGUGUGGAACUACCUUUGAAUUACAAUAUCCCUUGCGCACAAGACAUCCUCUUAUUCUCUUUGAAAAAUCGAUUUUAUGAGGACAAAGGUUAUAGCAAAUGAAAAAUAUGCAAAAAAAAUUGUUUCGGAUGCA